Molecule: long non-coding RNA, 168 nt
Organism: Chelonia mydas (Green sea turtle)
Lineage: Eukaryota; Metazoa; Chordata; Testudines; Cheloniidae
Exons: 3
Source: RefSeq, a predicted model, not a curated record
UGUCUGGGGUGCAACGACCAGAAGCAACUAGGGGCAGAUCUCUUCUUGACCUGCUGCUCACAGACCAGGAAGAAUUAGUAGGGGAAGUUAAAGUGGAUGGGAACCUGGGAGGCAGUGACCAUGAGAUGGUCGAGUUCAGGAUCCUGACACAAGGAAGAAAGGAGAGCA